UCCAGGCAAGAGUACUGGAGUGGGGUGCCAUUGCCUUCUCCGAUCCUGAGUAUACUUAAGACUUUAAAAGAUCCUGUUCUAUAAAGAGGGUAAAUGCCCAUCUUUAAUUUUUAUAGGUUCCUUUAGAAAGUUUGAUUUCAAUAUCAUAAUUUGUUAUUGAGCCAGAUAUGUUAAAGAAUCCUGUAGUCCUUGUUAAAGGAAACCAUGUCACCCCACCUCAUCUUGAUGUACAACAGACCUGGGACAGACUAGUGUGGCCAUGUUUUAUAUCUCAUGACUUCUAUCCCUUUUCUUAAAUUAUUAGAACAAGAAGGACUCCUUUUCUCAUGAAGAAUAGCUGAUCCUAAGGUCGGUCAGCAUCCCAUGGUCCAACUAGUCUGGUUCAAAAAGGACACGUGUUCCACAGGACACAAGAUGAGAAAACAUUGGUCUAAGGGACCUGCAGCUGAUUCGUGAGCCGCUCCUGGCUCCAGCGAGGCACUGCUGGGGAAGAGACCUGUGAGGUGCUGCGAGAUGGGAG
Odocoileus virginianus texanus is the source of this 520-nucleotide non-coding RNA. NCBI's taxonomy places the organism in Eukaryota, Metazoa, Chordata, Mammalia, Artiodactyla, Cervidae. The record is from RefSeq and is a predicted model, not a curated record.